GUCAAGUGACGAAGCGUACACGGUGGAUGCCUAGGCAACUGGAGGCGAUGAAAGACGUUGUAGCCUGCGAAAAGGCUCGGGAAGGUGGCAAACGACCUGUGAUCCGAGCAUCUCUGAAUGGGGAAACCCACCUGUCUUAAGGCAGGUAUCCCGCACUGAAUACAUAGGUGCGGGAGGCGAACGCGGGGAACUGAAACAUCUAAGUACCCGUAGGAAAAGACAUCAAACGAGAUUCCCCAAGUAGCGGCGAGCGAACGGGGAUUAGCCCUUAAGCACUGGGCCGGUUAGUGGAAUGACCUGGAAAGGUCAGCCGUAGUGGGUGAAAGCCCCGUACACGAAAACCCAACAGUGUGAAAUCGAGUAGGUCGGGACACGUGUUAUCCUGACUGAACAUGGGGGGACCAUCCUCCAAGGCUAAAUACUCCCAGUUGACCGAUAGUGAACCAGUACCGUGAGGGAAAGGCGAAAAGAACCCCUGUGAGGGGAGUGAAAUAGAUCCUGAAACCGUGUACGUACAAGCAGUGGGAGCCCCUUCGUGGGGUGACUGCGUACCUUUUGUAUAAUGGGUCAGCGACUUACAU
Molecule: ribosomal RNA, 581 nt
Filed under: Kryptoperidinium foliaceum
Lineage: Eukaryota; Dinophyceae; Peridiniales; Kryptoperidiniaceae
Description: partial Bacterial large subunit ribosomal RNA
Rfam family: Bacterial large subunit ribosomal RNA
Source: RNAcentral